Molecule: ribosomal RNA, 494 nt
Filed under: uncultured bacterium
Lineage: Bacteria
Description: partial 16S ribosomal RNA
Rfam family: Bacterial small subunit ribosomal RNA
Source: RNAcentral
GACGAACGCUGGCGGCGUGCUUAACACAUGCAAGUCGAACGGUGAAGCGCCUUCCUUUUUGGUGGGUGUGGAUGAGUGGCGAACGGGUGAGUAACACGUGAGUAACCUGCCCCCUUCUUCUGGAUAACCGCAUGAAAGUGUGGCUAAUACGGGAUAUUCUGGGUCUGUCGCAUGAUGGGUCUGGGAAAGAUAUUGUUUCGGUGGGGGAUGGGCUCGCGGCCUAUCAGCUUGUUGGUGGGGUGAUGGCCUACCAAGGCGGUGACGGGUAGCCGGCCUGAGAGGGUGGACGGUCACACUGGGACUGAGACACGGCCCAGACUCCUACGGGAGGCAGCAGUGGGGAAUAUUGCACAAUGGGCGCAAGCCUGAUGCAGCGCCGCCGCGUGAGGGAUGGAGGCCUUCGGGUUGUGAACCUCUUUCGCCAGUGAAGCAGGCCUGCCUCGUUUGUGGGUGGGUUGACGGUAGCUGGAUAAGAAGCGCCGGCUAACUACGUG